AUUUCUUACUAAUUUUUAUAUACUAAGCUCUGGAGGCAUGAAUAGAGUUAUUACUGUUUAUAUAACAUCCUUGAUGUGGAUAUUGGAUAUAUGGGAGGAGUAAAUAUGUGACUUUUGCAUUGUUAACUGGCUCUUGCAAAGGCAUUAACUGUAGCUCAGUUAGCUUAUUGGUGGGAACAAUUCACACUAUUAAGGCCUAGCAUAAGAGGGUCACUUUAUGCAAAACUUAAAUGGGUGUGAUAAAGAACUCCACUGAUUCAAUGAAGGACUCACGGGACCUAGAUUAUGCCAACAUGUUUUAUCCAAUGCAGGAAUUGGAUUUCGAAGAAUUUU
Molecule: long non-coding RNA, 333 nt
Organism: Quercus lobata
Lineage: Eukaryota; Viridiplantae; Streptophyta; Magnoliopsida; Fagales; Fagaceae
Exons: 3
Source: RefSeq, a predicted model, not a curated record